CCCACAAAACCCUCCUCCUCUCCCACUAAAACCCUCCUCCGUCGAAACCCACCUCCAAAACCCAUGAAACCCUAGCUCCUCCACCAAAAUCCACCACCGACACCCAUGAGGCCCUCCUUCGAUGCCCAUGAGGUUGGAAUCCUCUGCCGAUUCCAUAUGCCUCUGUAGGAUGUGCUACGAGGAGGAAGACGAGAACAACACGAGUAUGGAAUCCCCUUGUGGAUGUUCUGGAUGUUUGGAUCGAUUACGACGGUGUGACGCGCCAUUUGUAAGUAGACCAUCGGCUAUCCAAAGAUGAACUCCGCCUUGCUCGAAGCGCCACUCUAUCUCAGCGAUUACCUGAAGCAGGAAUUCUACUUUGGUUUGUUGCUUUGACGGGGAUGAAGUACGAGCUCAACUGUGUGCUAUCGUGGAAUCUGUUCGUCGAGAUGAUAACUGUCAGCAGAAAAUUCAUGUCUCCGGGGAAGAUUGGAGCGAUCGUUGGAGGAGUUUUUGCGUUCGUGAUGGUGCUUGGGGCAGGGCUUUGUGUGUGGCUGAAGAUGAGGAAGAGGAUGGCAAGAGAUGCUGCCGCCAAUAGCAGCAACGUGCUAGUAUUGGGGGCUCUAAAGAGCCUACCGGGGAUGUCGAGGGAGUUCAAGUUCAAGGACCUCGACAAAGCGACCAACAAUUUUGACAAGAAGAUGAAGCUAGGCAAAGGGGGCUUCGACGAGAUGUAUUGGGGCAUGUUGCCUGGGGAGAACAAGUAGGUUGUCUUGAAGCGAUUCUUCAGAGGUGGCACCUUCGCUCCAAACGACUUCCUCAAGGAACUCACCAUCAUCAACUGCCUUCACCAUAAGAACCUCAUCCCCCUUAUUGGUUGUGUCCUUGUUGCCACUCAAUUCGAAAGUAAUCUCUCAAAGUCCUUUGUCUUUACCAACAGGUAAUUGUUCAUAUAAUUUAAAUUCAAUAUUACAUUUGUUGGGAUUGUCAUUGCUAUCGAGGAUAGUUGCUUGUGCAAUUUGACAAUUUUAAUUUUUCCUUGCUCCAUACCUAUGAUAUUAGAUCAAAUCAAAAGAUUUAUUAUUAUUAUUAUUAUUAUUAUUAUUAUUAGAUCUUCAAGCUUUAUAAAUCGUGUGAUUUUUUAUCGUGACAAACAUGGUGUGAGUUCUUUGCAAAAAAUGGAUAUCAACUAUUAGAGACACAGAAAGAGACAGGCAGUUCUUUAUCAUGACAAACAUGGUGUGAUGAUGGGACAUUAACAAGCUAGCUAGCAGUUCAAAACCUUUUUGCAUGUGCCAUUUAUUUGAUAAGUUAAGAGAAACUUACCAUUUAAAGCAUGGAGGAAGAAUGCAACUUGGACUUUUCUUGAAGGGUGUAGGCUUAAGACUGGAAGAUGCUCUUCUUUUCUGGGAAUCAAAGUUCUCUCAGAAGAUGAAUGUGGAAAGAAACUGAAAGUGGAGUUUUUAUUUUGCCAAGAAGGACUCAUAUAAAUUUCCAAGAAGAUACAAUAUUACUAGAAAGAUUUAAUCCAAGAAGCUAGAUAUAUUAGAAUUAAUAUACAUGUCUAGUAGGUAGGAUUUUUGCUUUUAUAUAAACUUAACAUGUAUCUAAAGUUUGUAGAUUAUGUCUAUAUAUUUUCAUUUUGAAUUGUAUGACGCAUGUUUGGUUCAAUAGUAAAAAGAUUGAUUAGCUGUA
Molecule: long non-coding RNA, 1674 nt
Organism: Zingiber officinale
Lineage: Eukaryota; Viridiplantae; Streptophyta; Magnoliopsida; Zingiberales; Zingiberaceae
Exons: 5
Source: RefSeq, a predicted model, not a curated record